GAUGAACGCUGGCGGCGUGCUUAACACAUGCAAGUCGAGCGGAGCGGCGAACGGGUGAGUAAGGCGUGAGUAACUGCCCCCCUCUCUGGGAUAACAGUGGGAAACGGCUGCUAAUACCGGAUAGUGGGGGAUGACUCGCGUCCGAUCAGCUUGUUGGGGGGGUAGGUGCCUACCAAGGCGACGACGGGUACCCGGCCUCAGGGGGCGACCGGCCACAUUGGGCUGAUAUACGGGCCUAACUCCUACGGGAGGCAGCAGUAGGGAAUGUUGCACGAUGGGGGAAACCAUUAUGCAGCAUCGCCGCGUGCGGGAUGACGGCCUUCGGGUUGAAAACCUCUUUGAGCAAUGACUCGGUAUUGGCAGAAGAAGCAUCGGCUAACUACGUGCCAGCAGCCGCGGUAAUAC
This 405-nucleotide ribosomal RNA is filed under the name uncultured bacterium. Its description in RNAcentral is "partial 16S ribosomal RNA". It matches the Rfam family "Bacterial small subunit ribosomal RNA", at positions 28 to 526 of the family's 1533-position model. The record is from RNAcentral.